Molecule: unclassified non-coding RNA, 344 nt
Filed under: soil metagenome
Description: partial contains 5.8S ribosomal RNA, internal transcribed spacer 2, and large subunit ribosomal RNA
Rfam family: 5.8S ribosomal RNA (bases 1-120)
Source: RNAcentral
GAUGAAGAACGCAGCGAAAUGCGAUAAGUAAUGUGAAUUGCAGAAUUCAGUGAAUCAUCGAGUCUUUGAACGCACAUUGCGCCCCAUGGUAUUCCGGGGGGCAUGCCUGUCCGAGCGUCAUUGCUGCCCUCAAGCACGGCUUGUGUGUUGGGCCUCCGUCCUCCUCCCGGGGGACGGGCCCGAAAGGCAGCGGCGGCACCGCGUCCGGUCCUCGAGCGUAUGGGGCUUCGUCACCCGCUCUUGUAGGCCCGGCCGGCGCUUGCCGACACAUCAAUCUUUUUUCCAGGUUGACCUCGGAUCAGGUAGGGAUACCCGCUGAACUUAAGCAUAUCAUAAGCGGAGGA